RNAcentral lists this ribosomal RNA (829 nucleotides) under Alternaria murispora. Its description in RNAcentral is "eukaryotic LSU rRNA". It matches the Rfam family "Eukaryotic large subunit ribosomal RNA", at positions 88 to 935 of the family's 3401-position model. The record is from RNAcentral. Lineage: Eukaryota; Fungi; Ascomycota; Dothideomycetes; Pleosporales; Pleosporaceae.
GGCGAGUGAAGCGGCAACAGCUCAAAUUUGAAAUCUGGCUCUUUUAGAGUCCGAGUUGUAAUUUGCAGAGGGCGCUUUGGCUUUGGCAGCGGUCCAAGUUCCUUGGAACAGGACGUCACAGAGGGUGAGAAUCCCGUACGUGGUCGCUGGCUAUUGCCGUGUAAAGCCCCUUCGACGAGUCGAGUUGUUUGGGAAUGCAGCUCUAAAUGGGAGGUACAUUUCUUCUAAAGCUAAAUAUUGGCCAGAGACCGAUAGCGCACAAGUAGAGUGAUCGAAAGAUGAAAAGCACUUUGGAAAGAGAGUCAAACAGCACGUGAAAUUGUUGAAAGGGAAGCGCUUGCAGCCAGACUUGCUUGCAGUUGCUCAUCCGGGCUUUUGCCCGGUGCACUCUUCUGCAGGCAGGCCAGCAUCAGUUUGGGCGGUAAGAUAAAGGUCUCUGUCACGUACCUCUCUUCGGGGAGGCCUUAUAGGGGAGACGACAUAUUACCAGCCUGGACUGAGGUCCGCGCAUCUGCUAGGAUGCUGGCGUAAUGGCUGUAAGCGGCCCGUCUUGAAACACGGACCAAGGAGUCUAACAUCUAUGCGAGUGUUUGGGUGUCAAGCCCGAGCGCGUAAUGAAAGUGAACGGAGGUAGGAACCCGCAAGGGUGCACUAUCGACCGAUCCUGAUGUCUUCGGAAGGAUUUGAGUAAGAGCAUGGCUGUUGGGACCCGAAAGAUGGUGAACUAUGCUUGAAUAGGGUGAAGCCAGAGGAAACUCUGGUGGAGGCUCGCAGCGGUUCUGACGUGCAAAUCGAUCGUCAAAUUUGGGCAUAGGGGCGAAAGACUAAU